RNAcentral lists this ribosomal RNA (412 nucleotides) under Bacillota bacterium. Its description in RNAcentral is "Firmicutes bacterium partial 16S ribosomal RNA". It matches the Rfam family "Bacterial small subunit ribosomal RNA", at positions 355 to 776 of the family's 1533-position model. Lineage: Bacteria; Bacillati; Bacillota. The record is from RNAcentral.
UGGGGAAUCUUGCACAAUGGGCGGAAGCCUGAUGCAGCGACGCCGCGUGGGGGAUGACGGCCUUCGGGUUGUAAACUCCUUUCGCCAGGGACGAAGCCGUGAGGUGACGGUACCUGGAUAAGAAGCACCGGCUAACUACGUGCCAGCAGCCGCGGUAAUACGUAGGGUGCGAGCGUUGUCCGGAAUUACUGGGCGUAAAGAGCUCGUAGGUGGUUUGUCGCGUCGUCUGUGAAAUUCCGGGGCUUAACUCCGGGCGUGCAGGCGAUACGGGCAUAACUUGAGUGCUGUAGGGGAGACUGGAAUUCCUGGUGUAGCGGUGAAAUGCGAAGAUAUCAGGAGGAACACCGAUGGCGAAGGCAGGUCUCUGGGCAGUAACUGACGCUGAGGAGCGAAAGCAUGGGUAGCGAACAGG